AAUUAUGGUAUGGAUAGAUAAUAUGUACAUUUUGGUCUUGGCUGCUGUCAUUUACUAUUGAGUGGGACAUUUGGCUAUUAUUGUGGUGAAUUUACGCAACCUCGAGUCUACAGAUGGUAUAAUUGUUGUUUCCCACCGAAUUGCAAACAUGCCUAUGGGCAAAAACAAGCUGAAUUUGACGAUUACGUGCGCCGAACCGUCACAGGAUUCUGCGGAGAAGCAGAAUGGAGCUGCAAACUUGGAAGCAUUACAACAGAAGCUGAAGGAAUUGGAUAUCGAUGACCAGCAGCGAGAAAGACUCGAGCUCUUCCUGACCCAGAAACAGAAGGUCGGAGAGCUUGUGGAAGAAGACUUUGAAAAGCUGGGAGAGCUUGGUGCAGGAAAUGGAGGAGUUGUUACCAGAGUCCGACAUAAACCCACUGCCUUGAUCAUGGCCCGAAAACUCAUUCACUUGGAAAUCAAACCUGCUGUUCGGAACCAGAUUAUCCGAGAGCUGAAAGUUCUGCACGAGUGUAACUCGCCAUACAUUGUUGGUUUCUACGGAGCAUUUUACAGUGACGGGGAGAUCAGCAUCUGCAUGGAGUAUAUGGAUGGAGGCUCGCUGGACCUUAUUUUAAAGAGAGCAGGAAGAAUACCAGAACCAAUAUUAGCUGUGAUAAACAACGCAGUGUUAAAAGGACUGUGUUAUUUACGAGAGAAACACCAGAUUAUACACAGAGAUGUGAAACCAUCAAAUAUUUUGGUGAACUCGAGAGGAGAGAUAAAAAUCUGUGAUUUUGGCGUCAGUGGGCAGCUGAUCGAUUCAAUGGCAAACUCUUUUGUUGGUACAAGAUCGUAUAUGGCACCUGAGAGGUUGCAGGGCACACACUACUCAGUUCAGUCGGAUAUCUGGAGUCUAGGAUUAUCACUCAUCGAGAUGUCGAUUGGUCGCUACCCAAUUCCACCUCCUGAUCCAAAUGAUUUGAGCAGCAUAUUUGGUGAAAACUGCAUGGAGGAACAUAUUGAAGCUGCAAGAACAGGGAGACAUCUGCAAGGAAGCAGAAAUAAUUUUGUGUGCCUGCCCGGUGCGGAUGGACCCCGACCCAUGGCCAUAUUUGAGCUUUUAGAUUACAUUGUAAAUGAGUACCAAAUUUAACAAGGACUGGCGAAUGAUCGCUACAAAACGGAGUGAGUACAUCAACAUUCGUCGCAUAUCGAGAAGAAAAAACGAAAAUUAGAUCAAGAGUGCUUUUGUCACCUCCAUCUCUUCCUAAAGGAAAGUUUUCUGUUGAGUUUGAAGAUUUUGUUGAAAGAUGCCUCAAGAAGAAUCCCAAUGACAGAGCAGAUUUGCAGUCAUUA
Molecule: unclassified non-coding RNA, 1338 nt
Filed under: Gigantopelta aegis
Lineage: Eukaryota; Metazoa; Mollusca; Gastropoda; Neomphalida; Peltospiridae
Description: dual specificity mitogen-activated protein kinase kinase 1-like, transcript variant X3
Source: RNAcentral